UACGGAGGGUGCAAGCGUUGCUCGGAAUUAUUGGGCGUAAAGGGUAGGUAGGUGGUCUCGUUUGUCAGGGGUGAAAGCCUUGGGCUUAACUCAAGAAGUGCCCCUGAAACGGCGAGACUCGAGUACUGGAGAGGCUAGUGGAAUUCCCGGUGUAGCGGUGAAAUGCGUAGAGAUCGGGAGGAACACCAGAGGCGAAGGCGGCUAGCUGGACAGUUACUGACACUCAACUACGAAAAGCUGGGGGAGAAACAGG
RNAcentral lists this ribosomal RNA (253 nucleotides) under uncultured bacterium. Its description in RNAcentral is "partial 16S ribosomal RNA". It matches the Rfam family "Bacterial small subunit ribosomal RNA", at positions 524 to 776 of the family's 1533-position model. The record is from RNAcentral.